Molecule: ribosomal RNA, 468 nt
Filed under: uncultured bacterium
Lineage: Bacteria
Description: partial 16S ribosomal RNA
Rfam family: Bacterial small subunit ribosomal RNA
Source: RNAcentral
GACGAACGCUGGCGGCGUGCUUAACACAUGCAAGUCGAACGGAAAGGCCCUGCUUUUGUGGGGUGCUCGAGUGGCGAACGGGUGAGUAACACGUGAGUAACCUGCCCUUGACUUUGGGAUAACUUCAGGAAACUGGGGCUAAUACCGGAUAGGAGCUCCUGCUGCAUGGUGGGGGUUGGAAAGUUUCGGCGGUUGGGGAUGGACUCGCGGCUUAUCAGCUUGUUGGUGGGGUAGUGGCUUACCAAGGCUUUGACGGGUAGCCGGCCUGAGAGGGUGACCGGCCACCUUGGGCCUGCGAUACGGCCCAGUCUCCUACGGGAGGCAGCAGUGGGGAAUCUUGCCCAAUGGGCGGAAGCCUGAUGCAGCAACGCCGCGUGCGGGAUGACGGCCUUCGGGUUGUAAACCGCUUUCGCCUGUGACGAAGCGUGAGUGACGGUAAUGGGUAAAGAAGCACCGGCUAACUACGUG